Molecule: ribosomal RNA, 561 nt
Filed under: uncultured bacterium
Lineage: Bacteria
Description: bacterial SSU rRNA
Rfam family: Bacterial small subunit ribosomal RNA
Source: RNAcentral
CCUACGGGAGGCAGCAGUGGGGAAUAUUGCACAAUGGGGGAAACCCUGAUGCAGCGAUGCCGCGUGGAGGAAGAAGGUUUUCGGAUUGUAAACUCCUGUCUUUAAAGGACGAUAAUGACGGUACUUUAGGAGGAAGCUCCGGCUAACUACGUGCCAGCAGCCGCGGUAAUACGUAGGGAGCGAGCGUUGUCCGGAAUUACUGGGUGUAAAGGGAGCGUAGGCGGGAGUGCAAGUCAGGUGUGAAAACUAUGGGGCUCAACCCAUAGACUGCACUUGAAACUGCAUUUCUUGAGUGAAGUAGAGGUGAGCGGAAUUCCUGGUGUAGCGGUGAAAUGCGUAGAUAUCAGGAGGAACACCGGUGGCGAAGGCGGCUUACUGGGCUUUUACUGACGCUGAGGCUCGAAAGCGUGGGGAGCAAACAGGAUUAGAUACCCUGGUAGUCCACGCUGUAAACGAUGAUUACUAGGUGUGGGGGGACUGACCCUUCCGUGCCGCAGUUAACACAAUAAGUAAUCCACCUGGGGAGUACGGCCGCAAGGUUGAACUUAAAUGAAUUGACGG